UACGGAGGGUGCAAGCGUUGUUCGGAUUUAUUGGGCGUAAAGCGCGUGUAGGCGGUCUUUUAAGUCUCAUGUGAAAGCCCCGGGCUCAACCCGGGAAGUGCAUGGGAUACUGGGAGACUUGAAUACGGGAGAGGGCAGUGGAAUUCCUAGUGUAGGAGUGAAAUCCGUAGAUAUUAGGAGGAACACCGGUGGCGAAGGCGGCUGCCUGGACCGAUAUUGACGCUGAGGUACGAAAGCGUGGGGAGCAAACAGG
This 253-nucleotide ribosomal RNA is filed under the name uncultured bacterium. Its description in RNAcentral is "partial 16S ribosomal RNA". It matches the Rfam family "Bacterial small subunit ribosomal RNA", at positions 524 to 776 of the family's 1533-position model. The record is from RNAcentral.